This 534-nucleotide ribosomal RNA is filed under the name uncultured fungus. Its description in RNAcentral is "eukaryotic LSU rRNA". The stretch from base 146 to 299 matches the Rfam family "5.8S ribosomal RNA". Lineage: Eukaryota; Fungi. The record is from RNAcentral.
UUACGGGUAGAUCUCCCACCCUUUGAGUACUAUACUUUUGUUGCUUUGGCAGGCCGCUUCGGCUACCGGCUUCGGCUGGUGAGUGCCUGCCAGAGAACCCCAAAUUCUGAAUUAUAGUGUCGUCUGAGAACUAUAUAAUAGUUAAAACUUUCAACAACGGAUCUCUUGGUUCUGGCAUCGAUGAAGAACGCAGCGAAAUGCGAUAAGUAAUGUGAAUUGCAGAAUUCAGUGAAUCAUCGAAUCUUUGAACGCAUCUUGCGCUCCUUGGUAUUCCGAGGAGCAUGCCUGUUUGAGUGUCAUCAAGUUCUCAACCAUACCUCGGUGUGGCUUGGAUUUGGGGGUUUUUGCAGGCUUCAAAGAAAGUCGGCUCCCCUGAAAAGCAUUAGCGGUGUCCGAGUACCUUUGGUGUGAUAACUAUCUAUGCCUUGGUGUAUAUGAUGCAUGCUGCUUCUGAACUUCAUUUUUAUUGACAAAUUUGACCUCAAAUCAGGUAGGAUUACCCGCUGAGCUUAAGCAUAUCAAUAGACGGAGGAA